This is a long non-coding RNA of Alnus glutinosa, 832 nucleotides long. RefSeq lists it as uncharacterized. The record is from RefSeq and is a predicted model, not a curated record. The transcript is spliced from 3 exons. NCBI's taxonomy places the organism in Eukaryota, Viridiplantae, Streptophyta, Magnoliopsida, Fagales, Betulaceae.
ACACUCCUCUCUCUCACGCCUCUCAUUUCUUUUCUUCUCUUCUUCUUCACUCUUCCCCUAUUCUCCUCUAUUUGUGCAGCAGCCCAGCCCACGUCCCCCUCUCUUUCUUUCCUUUUCUUUUCCUCUCUUCUCUUCCCCUUUUCCCGGUAGCAGCAGCAGCCUUCACCAUUUAUUUUCUCUUCUUCCCCUGCCACGCACAUUCAGCAGCUCGCCUCUUCUCUUUCCCUUCCCUUUCUUCUUCCUCUUGUCUCACUUGCACCCACACAUACACAGCCGGUUGUGAGAGAGAGUUUCUGCCGAGAAGAUGCAGCCCAAAAGAGAAGUAGGAGAAGAAGAAGAAGAAGAAGAAAUGGGUUUCGGCCAUGUACGUCCGGAGAGGGUCGUGUCAUAAUUGGAGACUUCAAUGGGUUCUCUAAUGUUGAGUUCGAGUCGUGAGUCCAAUGCAGCCAAGAUGAUGUUUCUUUGGCUGCAGGUAUUUCGGUCGUAGUAUAUGAUGUUGUAGAAGUAUACUGAGGAUAUUAUGACUGAAGCUCAACGCGACGGUUGUAAUGUGUUAGACCGCGGGAUGUCUAUUCCUUUAGGUAUUUUGAUUAUGGCUUGUGACGCUUGCGCCACAUGGUCUUUGUUAAGCCAUUUAUGUUAUGUAUUUAAUUCGAGGAAAGAUUUAAUCAUGUAGUUAUUUAAUGACUCUUUGUUGUAAUUAUUUGUGAUAAAUGUAUAAGAUGUGAUUUCCGCUAUUAGGUUAUGUUUUCCGCUGCAUAGUUGAUAGAUGUUAUACUCUGAUUUGCCAGGUACAUAUUAUGGGGUAUGUACAUAUGUUGGCUUUGCGACA